Long non-coding RNA from Cannabis sativa, 610 nucleotides. RefSeq lists it as uncharacterized. The transcript is spliced from 2 exons. The record is from RefSeq and is a predicted model, not a curated record. NCBI's taxonomy places the organism in Eukaryota, Viridiplantae, Streptophyta, Magnoliopsida, Rosales, Cannabaceae.
UAGAGUUAUUUUGAUGUUUCCAAGCUUUUAGUGUAGUUGGUUAUGUGGGUGAAGCAAGCUUGAGCUCUUGGAACUCAAAGCUUGGUCUUUAAUGUUUGAGACCAUUUGGUUAGGUUUGGAGGGAGUUGUAGAUAAGCGAAACUCGGGCUCUAAUUCUACAGAAAAACGGUCGUCGACCAUUUUUCUGGGGAGGAACACCUAAAAAUAGUCUGCUAUUUUUUUUAAACGGUUUGUCAUUUUUGGUGAUGUUCGCGACCCCCAUUUUUUGUGUUUUCUUAAUAUUUAGGGUAUUGCCAUACUAUGUAUAGAUAGGGAAAUUUCGAAUUAUGAAUUCAAAGACCUAGAAUGGAUUAGGUCAAGUUGUUGGCCGAUUUACCGUUGUUGUGACCUAGGACCGAGAUCGUCAUCCAUUUUUUCAUUUAGAUUGGCCAGCAUGCAUGACUCUAGAAUUAAAAGUAAGAAAAGUACAAAUGUACUAAAUAGCAUGUCAUGUUGGGAUACAACUAUUAUCAUUUAUAAUAUACGAUUAUUAUCGUUUAUAAGACACGGUCAUUACUAUUGUGUGAGAAAAAGCCCUGGCUAUAAAUUGAAAUUGUUGUUAGGUUUCUUA